This 66-nucleotide transfer RNA is filed under the name Desulfobacterales bacterium HSG17. RNAcentral describes it as "tRNA-Leu". It matches the Rfam family "tRNA", at positions 5 to 66 of the family's 71-position model. Rfam says of the family: Transfer RNA (tRNA) molecules are approximately 80 nucleotides in length. Their secondary structure includes four short double-helical elements and three loops (D, anti-codon, and T loops). The record is from RNAcentral. Lineage: Bacteria; Pseudomonadati; Thermodesulfobacteriota; Desulfobacteria; Desulfobacterales.
GGUUAGCUCAAUGGGUAGAGCACUGUGCUAAGAACACAGGAGUUGCAGGUUCGAGUCCUGCACCAA